Long non-coding RNA from Bubalus bubalis (water buffalo), 1603 nucleotides. RefSeq lists it as uncharacterized. The record is from RefSeq and is a predicted model, not a curated record. The transcript is spliced from 2 exons. NCBI's taxonomy places the organism in Eukaryota, Metazoa, Chordata, Mammalia, Artiodactyla, Bovidae.
AAAUCGCUAGUGGUUGCCAGGGGCGCUCGGAACUGAAGGUGUGUGGUCAUAGUUCACUUUUUUAGAGUUGUUGUGAACCUGUCCCAAGAUUGUCAACUGGGUAAUUUUAUGGCGAGCCAGACUGUUUGAACCCUGGUUUGAUGGGCCCCUAUCAGAGAGCGUUUGUCCCAGGCUGUCCUCGCUUUCCACCCGCCCGGCUGUUGGCUGUAUACCCAGCUCUUCCGGCUCCGGCGCAGACUUCCUCCAGGUGCUGUGACUGCCUCCAGGACUGAACUUGGGAAAUAAUGGGAUGCGUCUGUACCGGUGCUGUGAGCGAGUCCAUUCACUUCAGUCCACCCCUCCCAUGGCUCGUUUGUUGAGAAAAGUUGCCUUAACUCCCAACGUGAUGGUGAAGAAGAGACACCAGAUAGCUCUCCCUGGCUGCCCCCACCCCCCAUGAGGGCAGAGUGAGAAUGAGAAGGUGACUGUCUCCAAAGCAGGAAGAGGGAAUCACAUCAGAACCUGAAGAUGCUGGCACCAUGAUCUCAGACUUCCAGCCUCCAAAACUGUCAAAAAACAAAUUUCUGCUGUUUAAACCACCCAGUCUAGGGUAUUCCAUUAUAACAGCCCAAACUGAAUUAAGACAGAACUUAGGUAAGCCUCAGUGGAAAAAUCAAAGUGUAGUCCCUGGGACUUGAGCGGGGCCAUUCUAUCUGUAGCAGAAAAUUACCUAAGUUUUAAGAAACAGCUCCUAGUGUGAUACUGCACCUUGGUAGAAACCAAACACUUAACCAUGGGACUCCAAGUGACCCUGUGCCCAGAACUGCCCGUUAUGGUCUGGGUUCUUUUGGUGUUCAGAUGGACCCAGUAGCAUUUAUUAUAAGAUGGAAAUAGUACAUCUGAAAUGGAGCUCAAGCACAAUUGAGAUACUUGUAAGCUGCAGGACCAAGUAAUCCAGACUCCCAUGUCACCCACCAUAGCUGCACCAACAGCUGAUCGGCUGAAGGAGGAGGGAUAAAGGCUAAAUUUGGUUUAAUGGAUGAGUCAGCUUAGUAUGGGGGUGUAAACCAAAAUUAGAUAGUGGCUCCUUUAUAGCCACAUACUUGAUAGGCUUUGAAAAAUAGAGAAGAGGAAAAAUCUUCCUAAUGGGUAGAGUUAAAGCAUUGUCCCUGGUCAUUUGGUUUGUAUAUUAGGAGAAGCAGACUGAAGUAAAUAUAUAGAGAUGCUUGGGCAUAUGUCAGUGGCCUGGCUCGCUGGUGGGGGGCUGGGAAGAAAAAGGCCUGAAAAAUCAAAGACAAGAAUGUCUAGGGUAGAGUCUUGUGGGUGGAUAUACAGGAGAGGGCAUGAAUUGUGAAGACUUUUGUAACACAUUUUGCACUUGCCAGGGAAAAGGUACUAAACAAUGAAGUAGAAUAACUCAUCCAAUUGUCAUUACCAACCUUAAUCAUUGGCUACCUUGGAACCAGUCUGAUGGGAACUAUUGUGGGUUAUAUUGUAUCCUCCCCCCCAUUUUUUUUUUUUUUGAACCAUCACACCAUAAUUUUAUUUAGAAACACUUAGCAAGUUUUUACUCAAAUGGGUGUGGAAACUCAGUGAAUAUUUGUCUUAAUUAUACCAAAAAUAA